Molecule: ribosomal RNA, 253 nt
Filed under: uncultured bacterium
Lineage: Bacteria
Description: partial 16S ribosomal RNA
Rfam family: Bacterial small subunit ribosomal RNA
Source: RNAcentral
UACGAAGGGGGCUAGCGUUGUUCGGAAUUACUGGGCGUAAAGCGCACGUAGGCGGCUUUCUAAGUCAGGGGUGAAAUCCCGGGGCUCAACCCCGGAACUGCCCUUGAAACUGGAUGGCUAGAAUCCUGGAGAGGCGAGUGGAAUUCCGAGUGUAGAGGUGAAAUUCGUAGAUAUUCGGAAGAACACCAGUGGCGAAGGCGACUCGCUGGACAGGUAUUGACGCUGAGGUGCGAAAGCGUGGGGAGCAAACAGG